CGGGAGGGGUGGGGCAGAGAGACGUCAGGAGGUGACCGCGCAUUUGUCNUUGCUUNGGNGGNGCGGCGCCCAGCGCGCCCCCCGGCCCCGCUCGCGGGGCGCCCGCCGGAGGUUACCUAACUCUUGACAAUUGUAUGGCCUCUCUGAGUCUCUGUACUUAAUAAGUCAAAACUUUCAACAACGGAUCUCUUGGUUCUGGCAUCGAUGAAGAACGCAGCGAAAUGCGAUAAGUAAUGUGAAUUGCAGAAUUCAGUGAAUCAUCGAAUCUUUGAACGCACAUUGCGCCCGCCAGUAUUCUGGCGGGCAUGCCUGUUCGAGCGUCAUUUCAACCAUCAAGCCCCCGGCUUGUGUUGGGGACCUGCGGCUGCCCGCAGGCCCUGAAAACCAGUGGCGGGCUCGCUAGUCACACCGAGCGUAGUAGCAUACACAGGCUCUAAGCAUAGGCGAGGAGGGCCGUUGGUGAGUCACCUGAGAAUCAAGAAUACGCGAGAGUACCUAAGC
RNAcentral lists this ribosomal RNA (501 nucleotides) under Chaetomium arcuatum. RNAcentral's name for it is "eukaryotic LSU rRNA". The stretch from base 170 to 323 matches the Rfam family "5.8S ribosomal RNA". The record is from RNAcentral. Lineage: Eukaryota; Fungi; Ascomycota; Sordariomycetes; Sordariales; Chaetomiaceae.